UACGGAGGGUGCAAGCGUUAUCCGGAUUCACUGGGUUUAAAGGGUGCGUAGGUGGGCUAGUAAGUCCGUGGUGAAAUCUCCAAGCUUAACUUGGAAACUGCCGUGGAUACUAUUAGUCUUGAAUAUUGUGGAGGUAAGCGGAAUAUGUCAUGUAGCGGUGAAAUGCUUAGAUAUGACAUAGAACACCGAUAGCGAAGGCAGCUUGCUACACAAUCAUUGACACUGAGGCAGGAAAGCGUGGGGAUCAAACAGG
This 253-nucleotide ribosomal RNA is filed under the name uncultured bacterium. Its description in RNAcentral is "partial 16S ribosomal RNA". It matches the Rfam family "Bacterial small subunit ribosomal RNA", at positions 524 to 776 of the family's 1533-position model. The record is from RNAcentral.